RNAcentral lists this small RNA (2792 nucleotides) under Pan troglodytes (chimpanzee). RNAcentral describes it as "retained intron". The record is from RNAcentral. Lineage: Eukaryota; Metazoa; Chordata; Mammalia; Primates; Hominidae.
UGAACUCCUGACCUCGUGAUCUGCCCGCCUCGGCCUCCCAAACUGCUGGGAUUACAGGCUUGAGCCACCACGCCUGGCCCCAACCUUCUUUGUCAAGUGUAACAGAGACAGAGAAACACGUGGAGCAUAAAGAAGGAACUUGCACAGUGCUUUCUAAAUUGGGCAAACACUUAAAAAGCAAGAAUUUUCAUACAGAUCUAGAUUUCUGGCUUCUCUUAAAAUACUGGCAGAUCUAACCCACUGGGCACACCCUCCUGCAGGGCUGGGAGCCAGCAGCUGCCACUUGCUGUCCCCGCGGUCUGAAGCUCGGCUGCUUCCCUGUGUGUCUGCGUUUAUGCCCGUGCCCCCCGCCACUCCUGUCCCAUGCCCACAGUGGGGGCUCCUCCAGUCCGCAGGGGGCCCAGAGUGGUGACCCUGGAGUCUGCUGGCACCCCCUCCUUUUGGCCAGUACACCUAGGAGCAGGCUGGCUGACCCCAUGCCCCUCCCCAGGAGGGUUUCUCUUCCCCUCCCAGUUCGCUGACCUCGCCCUCCACGCCCUCCAGCCUGGGGCCCUCACUCUCCAGCACCAGUGGCAUCGGGACCAGCCCCAGUUUGAGGUCGCUGCAGAGCCUGCUGGGCCCCAGUUCCAAGUUCCGCCAUGCUCAGGGCACUGUCCUGCACCGAGACAGCCAUAUCACCAACCUCAAGGGGCUCAACCUCACCACACCUGGUGAGAGUGACGGCUUCUGUGCCAACAAGCUGCGUGUGGCUGUGCCGCUGCUCAGCAGUGGGGGACAGGUGGCUGUGCUUGAGCUACGGAAGCCUGGCCGCCUGCCCGACACGGCACUGCCCACGCUGCAGAAUGGGGCAGCUGUGACUGAUCUGGCCUGGGACCCCUUUGACCCCCAUCGCCUCGCUGUGGCUGGUGAGGACGCCAGGAUCCGACUGUGGCGGGUACCCGCAGAGGGCCUGGAAGAGGUGCUCACCACGCCAGAGACUGUGCUCACAGGUCAGGCAGGCUCAGGAAUGGGGCUGGGGUGGCCAGUGUCUCCCAAGGGCUCCUGAUCACCCCUGCCUUCCUCCAGGCCACACGGAGAAGAUCUGUUCCCUGCGCUUCCACCCACUGGCAGCCGAUGUGCUGGCCUCGUCCUCCUAUGACCUCACUGUUCGCAUCUGGGACCUUCAGGCUGGAGCUGAUCGGCUGAAGCUGCAGGGCCACCAAGACCAGAUCUUCAGCCUGGCCUGGAGUCCUGAUGGGCAGCAGCUGGCCACUGUCUGCAAGGAUGGGCGUGUGCGGGUCUACAGGCCCCGGAGUGGCCCUGAGCCCCUGCAGGUGAGCACACAGGGGCUGGGGAGUGGCCUCAGACCUGGUUCAGGGGUGCUGGCUGGGUGUCACGCGAUGUAUCUCAACAGGAAGGCCCAGGGCCCAAGGGAGGACGCGGAGCUCGCAUUGUCUGGGUAUGUGAUGGUCGCUGUCUGCUGGUGUCCGGCUUUGACAGCCAAAGUGAGCGCCAGCUGCUCCUAUAUGAAGCUGAGGCCCUGGCCGGCGGACCCUUGGCAGUGUUGGGCCUGGACGUGGCUCCCUCAACCCUGCUGCCCAGCUACGACCCAGACACUGGCCUGGUGCUCCUGACCGGCAAGGGCGACACCCGUGUAUUCCUGUACGAGCUGCUCCCCGAGUCCCCUUUCUUCCUGGAGUGCAACAGCUUCACGUCGCCCGACCCCCACAAGGGCCUCGUCCUCCUGCCUAAGACGGAGUGCGACGUGCGGGAAGUGGAGCUGAUGCGGUGCCUGCGGCUGCGCCAGUCCUCCCUGGAGCCUGUGGCCUUCCGGCUGCCCCGAGUCCGGAAAGAGUUCUUCCAGGAUGACGUGUUCCCAGACACGGCUGUGAGCUGGGAGCCUGUGCUCAGUGCCGAGGCCUGGCUGCAAGGCGCUAAUGGGCAGCCCUGGCUUCUCAGCCUGCAGCCUCCUAACAUGAGCCCAGUGAGCCAAGCCCCCCGAGAGGCCCCUGCUCGUCGGGCCCCAUCCUCAGCGCAGUACCUGGGAGAGAAGUCUGACCAGCAAAAGAAGGAGGAGGUAGGCAUGGGAGAGAACAGCUGUGCGGAGGUGACAGAGUCCUGGCUGCACCUGGCCACGGCCCCUUAGUUCUCCAUCCCCAACCCAGACUGGGACAGCAGCCACAUGUCACAUCCCCUUCACACCAGAGCCUGGUGGGGAGACCUUCCAGAGCCCUGCCACUGACCAUGGGGCCCAGGAAGUGGGGGAGGGCAGUGGGAGCCCUGCCCUGGCCAGACCAAACCCAGCCUAAGCCGGCAGUUCUGGGCCCAAGUGCUUUUGGGACCUUGAAGUAUAUUUUGAGCACUUGAGGCCAUGUGCAGAGAUAGUAGCCCUUGUAUCUGGUGCCACAUGCCACAGCCUCUCAGUCUCUUACUCCGCCUGUCUCUUCUUUGUGUCUUUUUCAAUAGAAACCCAUCGAUUUUGUCAGGGCUUUAAUUAAAAUGGCUCUUUUGAGGCCGGGCAUGGUGGUUCAUGUCUGUAAUCCUAACACUUUGGGAGCCCAAGGCAGGCGGAUUGCUUGAGCUCAGGAGUUUGAGACCACCCUGGGCAACACGGUGAAACCCCGUCUGUACUAAAAUACAAAAAUUUAGCCAGGCAUGGUGGCGGGCGCCUGUGAUCCCAGCUACUUGGGAGACUGAGGCAGGAGAAUCACUUGAACCCAGGAGGUGGAGAUUGCAGUGAGCCGAAAUCGUGCCAUUGUACUCCAGCCUGGGUGACAGAGCGAGACUCCGUCUCAAUAAAUAAAUAAAUAAAU